Molecule: long non-coding RNA, 2184 nt
Organism: Nerophis lumbriciformis (worm pipefish)
Lineage: Eukaryota; Metazoa; Chordata; Actinopteri; Syngnathiformes; Syngnathidae
Source: RefSeq, a predicted model, not a curated record
UCCACCAUCGGUGAGUCGAAGCCAAUUGGAGAGACAGGAAUAGUCCGAUUGUUACGCCGCAAACUUUCGCCUUUUCCUGUGUCGGGGCUCUCGAUGCUGCAGACCUGACCGGCAGGAAGGAGAGCCUCCCCAGGGGACCAUGUGCACCACGCUGAUGGUCCUGACCAGCAUCGGCCUCAUCUUGCGGCACAGAUUCUCCAGCAGAAUCAACCCGCAGAAGGAGGAAGAGGUGCCGUACGAGAAGAGCAACCAAGCAGCAGACAGAAAAUGACAGUGACAAACACCAGGAGGACGAAACAUGUGAGCAAUUAUGCAGUAUUGUGAGCAACGGGCUUGUGCAAUCACGUCCAGCGCCAGCGGUCCCUGAAACAUGUCGGCGUGCUCCGCCACUCAACUGGAUGGUAGUGGUCUGCACCAGAGUCCCACCGGGACGGAAGUACAACAACAUGUCUGAUCUGCCGUGCAGAUACCCUCUCUUCUGCAACAACAAGUAAUUUUUUUGGGAGCAGUUCCAGUUUGGAGAGUCCUGUGUUUGUGCGCCAGAUUGCUUUUAAUUGUCAUUUGAUGCGAGGCCUUGUUUACGGCUAAAAUCUCCAAAACUGGAACUGAGUUUUCUUGUAAAAUUAACAAAAUCCAGAAAGGUCGAGUAAAUCUUCAAAAUUGAUUGUUUUUGCUGACUCGGUGAAGAAGGAAUUUCCUGAGCAUGAACCGCAGCUUAGAACGAGGAUUAGUGUUAAUGCGGGUCAUGUGUGCGUCUUUGCAGGGGUCCCAUUUUGCCGGGAAUAAGUCAAAAUUCAAACGGAAUUUUACCGCAAACGUGUUCCUAGCCGCCUUCUGCUCCGUCACUGACAAGAAUAUAACGGCAUAGUUCCCCAUGAGUGCUGGUCUUGUAAAACAGACAUACUAGGUUCAAUCCAGCUACUACCAUAGUUUUUGGGCUAUAGAGUUCACCAGUAUUUAAGCCAUACCCACCAUUUUUCUAAAUAAAAAAAUAGUUUUACAUAUAUUAGCCUCACCAGACCAUAAGCCGAAAUAUUUUGUAAAUGUUUAUUUACAUACCUUAUUUGUUUCCAAACUGUGUCUGUAACAGGGCAGUAAAACGGGUGAUCAAACAAAACAGACGUCAUGGUCAUGGACCCGCUAGCUGCAGAAGCUCGCUCUCUCCGAUCAGCUAAACAGACUCAAUAACUCCACGGUGACGUUUUGGUGAAUUUACAAAACCGAAACAAUACAAUACAGACACUCGUUAUCGUGUUAGCAUAUUAGCUAAUGCCAACGAAGCUAGCUUGAUUGCAUUACGAUAGCACGUACAAACAUGCAUGAAAACACUGCUGCAGACGUCACACAUGGGACGGUUUAGUAGGUCAGAAUUGUUUUAGUUAUAUUGUAAAACUUGGAGCGAUGAAUGAAGAAUCCAUACGAGUAGAAACGCGAUGGACGAUUAGAAGACGAAACGGGUUGUACUUCUAGGAGGAAGUACAUUUCCUGGAGUGAGCGAACUCGUCCACAAUAUGGCGCCGUAGCACAAACGACACACCUUUUCAGCGUCUGUUGAAAAAUAUUUGUUGAAUACAAAACAUCAUGGCCGUUAGCGAAGAAAAAUCCAUAAAUUAAACACACCAUUUUGAAAGCCACAGGGUGCAAAGCGUAGGAAAAAAGUAGCGGCUUAUAGUCCACCAAAUACGGUCAUUUAUGCUCAGUGUGAUAUUUCCAGUAUUUGGAAAAUUACUUUUACAAAGUAAUUAUAGCUACUCUGCCAAAAAAAAAAAGUAAUUGAAUUGCUCACAUGAUUACUCUUUAGUAAUGUAAUUAACUAAGAGUUAAGUCAAUAUUGCGUUACUUAAAAACAACUUUAAAUAUCUGGCAAAUGCAGCUGAGAUAUUUCAUGAAAGCUGUGUGUGUGUGUGUGUGUGUGUGUGUGUGUGUGUGUGUGUGUGUGUGUGUGUGUGUGUGUGUGUGUGUGUGUGUGUGUGUGUGUGUGUGUGUGUGUGUGUGUGUGUGUGUGUGUGUGUGCCUUUAAAAGGCUAAGUGACGUGUGACAUCAGCGCCCAGACAAAGCAGCAUUAGCUCUGCUUUGUUUGUUAGCUUAGCAGCAGCAUUUUGCUGGCAACAACAGCAGCCAUGUUGAAUGUUUUCACUUUAUUGUGUUAGCGCUAGCUAAUAAAGAGAUUGAAUCUGCUUCCA